UACGUAGGGGUCUAGCGUUGUUCGGAAUUAUUGGGCGUAAAGAGCUCGUAGGCGGUUUGUCGCGUCUGCUGUGAAAACUCGGGGCUUAACCCCGGGCCUGCAGUGGGUACGGGCAGACUAGAGUGCGGUAGGGGAGACUGGAGUUCCUGGUGUAGCGGUGAAAUGCGCAGAUAUCAGGAGGAACACCGGUGGCGAAGGCGGGUCUCUGGGCCGUAACUGACGCUGAGGAGCGAAAGCGUGGGGAGCGAACAGG
This 253-nucleotide ribosomal RNA is filed under the name uncultured bacterium. RNAcentral describes it as "partial 16S ribosomal RNA". It matches the Rfam family "Bacterial small subunit ribosomal RNA", at positions 524 to 776 of the family's 1533-position model. The record is from RNAcentral.